GACGAACGCUGGCGGCGUGCUUAACACAUGCCAGUCGAACGCUGAAGCACCAGCUUGCUGGUGUGGAUGAGUGGCGAACGGGUGAGUAAUACGUGAGUAACCUGCCCUUGACUCUGGGAUAAGCCCGGGAAACUGGGUCUAAUACUGGAUGCUACAUGUCACCGCAUGGUGGUGUGUGGAAAGGGUUUACUGGUCUUGGAUGGGCUCACGGCCUAUCAGCUUGUUGGUGAGGUAAUGGCUCACCAAGGCGACGACGGGUAGCCGGCCUGAGAGGGUGACCGGCCACACUGGGACUGAGGCACGGCCCAGACUCCUACGGGAGGCAGCAGUGGGGAAUAUUGCACAAUGGGCGAAAGCCUGAUGCAGCGACGCCGCGUGAGGGAUGACGGCCUUCGGGUUGUAAACCUCGUUCAGCAGGGAAGAAGCCACAAGUGACAGUACCUGCAGAAGAAGCGCCGGCUAACUACGUG
Molecule: ribosomal RNA, 470 nt
Filed under: uncultured bacterium
Lineage: Bacteria
Description: partial 16S ribosomal RNA
Rfam family: Bacterial small subunit ribosomal RNA
Source: RNAcentral